GACGAACGCUGGCGGCGUGCUUAACACAUGCAAGUCGAACGGAAAGGCCUCUUUCGGGGGGUACUCGAGUGGCGAACGGGUGAGUAACACGUGAGUAACCUGCCCUUGACUUUGGGAUAACUUCAGGAAACUGGGGCUAAUACCGGACAGGAGCUCCUGCUGCAUGGUGGGGGUUGGAAAGUUUCGGCGGUUGGGGAUGGACUCGCGGCUUAUCAGCUUGUUGGUGGGGUAGUGGCUUACCAAGGCUUUGACGGGUAGCCGGCCUGAGAGGGUGACCGGCCAUAUUGGGACUGAGAUACGGCCCAGACUCCUACGGGAGGCAGAAGUGGGGAAGAUUGCUCAAUGGGUGGGAGCCUGAUGCAGCAACGCCGUGUGCGGGAUGACGGCCUUCGGGUUGUGAACCGCUUUCGCUCAUGACGAAGCUUUGUGUGACGGUAGUGGGUAAAGAAGCACCGGCUAACUACGUG
Molecule: ribosomal RNA, 467 nt
Filed under: uncultured bacterium
Lineage: Bacteria
Description: partial 16S ribosomal RNA
Rfam family: Bacterial small subunit ribosomal RNA
Source: RNAcentral